Long non-coding RNA from Chinchilla lanigera (long-tailed chinchilla), 1738 nucleotides. RefSeq lists it as uncharacterized. The transcript has 4 exons. The record is from RefSeq and is a predicted model, not a curated record. Lineage: Eukaryota; Metazoa; Chordata; Mammalia; Rodentia; Chinchillidae.
GUGCUUCCUUUGUACGAAUGCCACUGCAGGGCGGGUAUUGUCAGGGUCCCAAGCCUACAGCCAGGAAGGGACCCCGGCACUCCUAGAAAAGUCUCCUUCCUGCCUAAUUCUCUCUGCUCCUCCAGGACUUGGGGAUCUCCUCAGAGAGGGCUUUCCUAGACUGGUUCUGCAGGCGGCCACACACUCAUCCUAGGACGGCUGCCUUGCAAUUCCCUCUCCAGGCUCAGCUUCGGAGCUGACCAGCAGCAGCCCUCACUCAACAAAGCAUUGUGGGAAAGAUACUGGGCCUCCCAGGGCCUCUGAUUCCUCCUACAUAAAAUGAAAACAACAGGCCCAGCCCAACACAGGCUGUGCGGAUAAAACGAGAUAAAGCCCGGGGAACACUCAGGCCAAGCCCAGAGCCGACUCGUAUUUGCCAUGAGGGUUACACAGCGCUGCACAUAACCCACGUGCAUUAGACCCUCAGGCCGUAGUAAAACUCUGUCAGCGACGGUGGUGUUCUGGUCAGUCCCGGGAAAGUCUGGGGACAACAAAGCAAACGCUGUGUCCUCCCAGGAACUGUCGGCCUCUGCCUGCUUUAGAGGUUUCUGCAGCCCUCCCCUCAUUGCACAACCAAGGAAGCCGGAACUCCUUGACAAUGCAUGAAUUUCACUGCGAAGACUUUAUCUCAAAGCUUAUCAGAGAGGCAGGUGGACAACAUGUACACACAAGGAUGUCGCACCACUUAUGAUCAUCGGGAAAAUGCAGAAAUUAUCUACGCGUCCAGGAGCAGCAGGUUGGAGCACCGACUUCAUGUGCCAAGUCCAGAGAAAGAAGGAUGACAACAGCCGCUGCCCUCUGAGAGCGACGAAGCUGUGGGGGGAAGAUCAUGAAGCAAUCGUCACCCCAGGGUGGGGUACAGAAAAGGCACCUGAUUUUGGCAUUGAAAUCCUUGGCUCCAAGUCCCGGCUCUGCCUUUUAGAAGACACUGAAGGUGCCGGCCCGCUUCCUUAACCGUGAAAUGGGUGACCCUGCCACCACCCACCCUGAGCAGGCUGUGUCACCUCGUCACAGAGGACGCCCAGCUUGGUGCCAGACGCAGACGAGGCACGAGGCACGUCGGGCGAGCUUCGGUGUUGAGGCCCGAGGCUCCGGAAUGAGGGCUAUGGGCCUCAGGUGUGCCCAGGAGCCCCGGCGGCGCCCUGUGCCCUUGGACCUGCCCGGCCAGCCCAGCCAGUCCUAGCGCCUCAGCGCAGCGCCGCCGGAGCGCAGCCACCCUCAGAGCAAACAGCCUGGGGAGCGGGGCCUCCGGACGCCGCAAAUGCUUCCGAGCCACGUCACGGUUUCACGAGCUGGUUUCCGCCGCCCCCAGGAGCCUCCCCAGAUACGCUCGGCUCAGGUGACAUCGCCACGCCCUCCGCGGCCCCUCCGUCUGCACGUGUGACAGUUCUGGGCCUUCCACACUAGACUGCAGUUCUUGGGAGCUGGGUUCCAAGCUGCUCAUCUCUACUGCCCGGCCCGGUAACUCGGGGCGAAUCGGUGAUGACCAUGCCAACCCAGCGGCGGUCCGGCGCGCAGCCCUUAGCACAGGAGUGGCACAGGUCGAAGGGCCUUGGUUAAUUCUUGUAAAUGGCACAAAACCCCUAGCAGGUGUGUCCUGCUCCCAGGAGCCUCCCUUAUCGUUGUUAUUUUGUCUAUAAUCCUCCUUUUUGUUGUCUUCUUUUUUCUUGGUACCAGGAAUCGAACUCAGGACCUUGCA